Molecule: ribosomal RNA, 439 nt
Filed under: uncultured bacterium
Lineage: Bacteria
Description: partial 16S ribosomal RNA
Rfam family: Bacterial small subunit ribosomal RNA
Source: RNAcentral
CUACGGGACGCUCCAGUGAGGAAUAUUGCACAAUGGGGGGAACCCUGAUGCAGCAACGCCGCGUGGAGGAUGACGCAUUUCGGUGUGUAAACUCCUUUUAUAUGUCAAGAAAAUGACGGUAGCAUAUGAAUAAGCACCGGCUAACUCCGUGGCCAGCAGCCGCGGUAAUACGGAGGGUGCAAGCGUUACUCGGAAUCACUGGGCGUAAAGGACGCGUAGGCGGGUUGGAAAGUCAGGUGUGAAAUCCUACAGCUUAACUGUAGAACUGCACUUGAAACUUCUAAUCUAGAGUAUGGGAGGGGGGAUGGAAUUAGUGGUGUAGGGGUAAAAUCCGUAGAUAUCACUAGGAAUACCUAAAGCGAAGGCGAUCUCCUGGAACAUUACUGACGCUAAGGCGUGAAAGCGUGGGGAGCAAACAGGAUUAGAUACCCGAGUAGUC